This 237-nucleotide long non-coding RNA is filed under the name Elaeis guineensis (African oil palm). RNAcentral's name for it is "long non-coding RNA (EGUI_LNC034945)". Lineage: Eukaryota; Viridiplantae; Streptophyta; Magnoliopsida; Arecales; Arecaceae. The record is from RNAcentral.
UCGGACUUCGUCCCCGACUUUAAUUACAGGUAGAUCUCACCCCAAACUCCUACAAGGGCCGAGACUCCUCGACAAAUGAUCCCCAUCCGGGCUUCUACGAAAAUCAGACUCCGACCGAACUUCUAUAAGCGGGCAAAUAUCGUGCUCACGAAAUUCAGUAGCUGGACCCCUCCGGCGGAUGAACCUCUCCAGCGCCAUUCGGCAUCUACCGUCGGUCGACCCUCUGUUGAAGUCUGC